RNAcentral lists this ribosomal RNA (433 nucleotides) under uncultured bacterium. RNAcentral describes it as "partial 16S ribosomal RNA". It matches the Rfam family "Bacterial small subunit ribosomal RNA", at positions 29 to 507 of the family's 1533-position model. The record is from RNAcentral.
AACGAACGCUGGCGGCAUGCCUAACACAUGCAAGUCGAACGAGACCUUCGGGUCUAGUGGCGCACAGGUGCGUAACGCGUGGGAAUCUGCCCUUCGGUUGGGAAUAACUGAGAGAAAUUUCAGCUAAUACCUUAUAAUGUCUUCGGACCAAAGAUUUAUCGCCGAGGGAUGAGCCCGCGUAGGAUUAGGUAGUUGGUGGGGUAAUGGCCUACCAAGCCGACGAUCCUUAGCUGGUCUGAGAGGAUGAUCAGCCACACUGGGACUGAGACACGGCCCAGACUCCUACGGGAGGCAGCAGUGGGGAAUAUUGGACAAUGGGCGAAAGCCUGAUCCAGCAAUGCCGCGUGAGUGAUGAAGGCCUUAGGGUUGUAAAGCUCUUUUACCCGGGAUGAUAAUGACAGUACCGGGAGAAUAAGCUCCGGCUAACUCCGUG